UGGAAAGCUUUUAAAGCCACAGUAGGCAGGAUGAGUUUCAGCCUGUCUAGAAGGUCCUUGAAGAGGAGUAUCAGCUUGAUUUAAACUUUUAGAACCUUCCACCAGAAUUCAAACGCAGUGUGGAGGCACCAUUACAGUAAAUCAAGAACAAGUAUG
Candoia aspera is the source of this 156-nucleotide long non-coding RNA. RefSeq lists it as uncharacterized. The record is from RefSeq and is a predicted model, not a curated record. Lineage: Eukaryota; Metazoa; Chordata; Lepidosauria; Squamata; Candoiidae. The transcript is spliced from 3 exons.